AAUCCGUGUUGUGGACACUUUUGCAAAAGGUCGUUGAAACGCUACCAUGUCUCAAACAAGGACUCAAGCUCCAUCUGAACAAAUGACGAAAUCUCGUUACGAAGCUU
This is a small nucleolar RNA of Dioscorea cayenensis subsp. rotundata (Guinea yam), 107 nucleotides long. Lineage: Eukaryota; Viridiplantae; Streptophyta; Magnoliopsida; Dioscoreales; Dioscoreaceae. The record is from RefSeq and is a predicted model, not a curated record.